CAAUAGCGUAUAUUAACGUUGUUGCAGUUAAAAAGCUCGUAGUUGGAUUUCUGGAGGGAGCGUCGGCCCGUAUUUACGAGUGCGUGACGUCUCUGUCCAUCCUUGCGGGAAGGCACGGCAUUGAUUUGUUGUGUCGGAUCGCAUCAUUUACUGUGAAAAAAUUAGAGUGUUCAAAGCAGGCUUUCGCUUGAAUACAUUAGCAUGGAAUAAUAAGAUAGGACUUUGGUGCUAUUUUGUUGGUUGAGCCUAAAGUAAUGAUUAAUAGGGAUAGUUGGGGGCAUUAGUACUUAACUGUCAGAGGUGAAAUUCUCGGAUUUGUUAAAGACUAACUUAUGCGAAAGCAUUUGCCAAGGAUGUUUUCAUUAA
RNAcentral lists this ribosomal RNA (366 nucleotides) under uncultured eukaryote. RNAcentral describes it as "partial 18S ribosomal RNA". It matches the Rfam family "Eukaryotic small subunit ribosomal RNA", at positions 592 to 976 of the family's 1831-position model. The record is from RNAcentral.